RNAcentral lists this ribosomal RNA (460 nucleotides) under uncultured bacterium. RNAcentral's name for it is "partial 16S ribosomal RNA". It matches the Rfam family "Bacterial small subunit ribosomal RNA", at positions 28 to 507 of the family's 1533-position model. The record is from RNAcentral.
GACGAACGCUGGCGGCGUGCUUAACACAUGCAAGUCGAGCGGUAAGGCCUCUUCGGGGGUACACGAGCGGCGAACGGGUGAGUAACACGUGGGUGACCUGCCCUCAGCUCUGGGAUAAGCCUGGGAAACUGGGUCUUAUACCGGAUAUGACCUUUCCUCGAAUGGGGUUUGGUGGAAAGUUUGUUCGGCUGGGGAUGGGACCGCGGCCUGUCAGCUUGUUGGUGGGGUGAUGGCCUACCAAGGCGACGACGGGUGGCCGGCCUGAGAGGGCGACGGGCAACACUGGGACGGAGACGCGGCCCAGACUCCUACAGGGGGCAGCAGUGGGUAGUAUUGCACAAAGGGCGCAAGACUGACGCAGAGGCGCCGCUUGGUAGAUGACGGCCUUCGGGAUGGAAACCUCUUUCGACCCCGACGAAUUUGGACGGUAGAGGUAGAAGAAGCACCGGCCAACUACGUG